Long non-coding RNA from Stegodyphus dumicola, 1460 nucleotides. The record is from RefSeq and is a predicted model, not a curated record. NCBI's taxonomy places the organism in Eukaryota, Metazoa, Arthropoda, Arachnida, Araneae, Eresidae.
CUCGCGACCGCAGCGCCCUCACUACCGGUCGAUGAAUACAGGCACGAGCAGACGAAGAUACUUGAAAUUCAGACUUCAAGAAAAUAUGCGGUGUCUCUCUCCCAAAGCUGUUCUGUGAGCAUAUGAAGACUCGGUUCUUCUGAAAUGCUUCGAAACGCAAUAGAACUGACAGACGACGCGAUUCAGCUCCCAAUGGGACACUUUUAGAACUCUGAGUAAAAGUAGAGCGAGGUGCGAUGUGACAACAGCAUCGACUGCAGUCGGUUUGACAGCAGAAAGUUGUGUAAAAGGGGUAGCAGCUGUUCCCUGUUUAGACAGCAACUUUUCUGUGCGUGUUCCCAGUGUUUUUCUUCCUUCCGUUUAUCGGCCUGCGUUCGAAUCUUUAAUCUAGUUCAAGUAGUUAAAUCGGAAACAUUGUAACUGUGAAAUCUGGCGAGCUCAAUAUAUAUUCAAAACAAUCUUAACCCAUUAUAUAAUAUUUUGAGUAAUUCUUUCUUGUUGAUUAACUUUCUGUGUAUAACAUUUAUGAUGAUGAUUUUAUAAAUGGUCACGGUUCUGCAACGCAGAAAUCAGUUGAUGGAAAGAAGGAAGACAGUUUUGCAAAUAUGAGCCUGACAGAACACAAUUUGUAUUUAGCGCAGUUUAGGGUUUGCGUGUCUUCAAGUACUUGCAAAGUAGCUAUUUUAUGCGAAGAAUAAAAAAAUACUGAAAUUAUGUAAUGUUGGGGGACAAUAUAUAAUAUGAAUUUUGAUAGAAAUUAUAUAUUUCUUUCUGCUUUUGCUUUAAAAAAAGGAAGUAAUAUAUAAAAAAUAAAUUACAACAAUAAAAAGUAGCUAUUUAUAAUUUCGUAAAACAAAGGAACUUAUUUCUUGUGAUUUUUCUCCAAUGCAAUAAAAGUAUAUCUGAUUUUGACUAAUGCUUUGGAAAAAGAUUCUAUGACUGCAAUUUUUCUAUUAUUUUAGACUUUAAAGGGUGGAAUCCACACAGUUUUCAGCUAAAGAUUAUAAAGUAAUUCGUAUUUCUACAAAUAAAAAGUAUAAUAAAGUAAAGACAUUUUGACUGUGGUGACCACAUUAGCAAUAGAAAAUGGGAGCAGUUACAGUCACAAGUUAAAUAACUUUCCCCAUAACUAGAAAACUUUGCUUCUCAUCACACAGAAGGAAAAUAGAACUUAACAUCAUGUCGGAAGCACGAGUAUUUGGAACUAAACUAUCAUUAUGACUCAAAUAUCAUAGACAAUUUUUCUCGCUAUACAAAGAUUUUCAGGUCUUUGUGGACUCAAGAGGUCGAAAACCCAAUGACAUUUCGCUACUGCAAGAAUGGCUUGUAAGGUUUCCUGUCACUGGCUGUUGACGCUGACAUUUGCCGAAGUUAUUUCCGCUUUGCCAUGAAGAACUCGGAGACAAAUCACAACAGCACAAAGAAGAUGAAGUCCGCUUUGAACGAGGACGAGCUGGACA